CGUGGGUCACCAUUGCAGACUCAUCAUCCAUUAUAUCUGGGGGUAUCUCCACUUCCAUGUAGCCUUUCUGAAAAUAUAACGAGAGAAACUGGGUGCCAGUGGCCUCCUUCUGCGACCAUGGAAUCUUUAUGCAGAGAUAGGUAAAGAAAACGUCGCGGCCCUGGACCACAGUGUGAUUCUCCAAGGGGGCUAGGAACUCUGGAAGUAUCUCCGGAGUUAUUUGACCUGAAAGAGAAUUCGUUAGAAAAUAGUUCCUGCCCCCAUAUGCACGAAUAAGCAGCGCUGUCGAUUAGAUAUUCAAGUUUUCUAUGGAGCUGAAUUCCAGCCUGCCUUCCAUCGAUUCACUAUGGAAGAGACAGAGCCUCCCAACGUCCAGGGUGCUUUCCGAGAAAUCAACGAAUCUGCGAGGAACAGGAGGAGGAGGAGGAGGAGGAGGAGGAUGAGGAGGAGGAGGAUAGACGAAAAUCAAUCAGUUUACGUAACAUUGCUCCGACUGAUUACCACUCAUUCCACGAGACGGUGAAUUCCCCGCGAAGAAAGCAUCGAGGUGUGCAACGAGGUUCUCUGCCGAUCUCGACCACUUUCUAUGCUGGGGGAGUGGCAAUCGAUCGGAGAGGAGGGCUGCAACGGGAAUCAAGAGGAUCGAGGAUGGCUCACUUGGCAAAGGCGAGGCAAGUGCUGGGAAUCGCGUAAUUGCAGGAAAGGAUCUCAG
Hylaeus anthracinus is the source of this 712-nucleotide long non-coding RNA. RefSeq lists it as uncharacterized. The record is from RefSeq and is a predicted model, not a curated record. The transcript is spliced from 5 exons. Lineage: Eukaryota; Metazoa; Arthropoda; Insecta; Hymenoptera; Colletidae.